RNAcentral lists this ribosomal RNA (618 nucleotides) under Triticum aestivum (bread wheat). Its description in RNAcentral is "partial small subunit ribosomal RNA". Lineage: Eukaryota; Viridiplantae; Streptophyta; Magnoliopsida; Poales; Poaceae. The record is from RNAcentral.
AUGAUUUGGAAGGCGAAGGUCCCUCCAAAAAUUAGAAUCUUUGGAUGGCGCGUUGCAACAAAUACACUGGCUACGAAAAAGAACAAGUGGAAGAGGACUCUGGAGGUGGAUGCUACUUGUGACAUUUGCGGGUGUGAAGAUGAGGAUGAAUUCCAUGCGGUGGUUGCUUGCACCAAGAGUGUUGCUCUAAGACAUGAAAUGAGGAAGGAGUGGACACUGCCACCUGAAUGUGCCUUCAAAUAUACAGGCCCUGACUGGCUGCAGUUACUCUUGGAUAAAAGUUCAGAGGACAUGCGAGCGCGAGUGCUGAUGCUACUAUGGAGAGGAUGGCACCUGCGCGACAAUUGCAUCCGUGGAAAAGGAGACGAGAGUAUCAGACAAUCUUCUCUCUUUCUCCUGAAGUAUGAGGAAGACUUUCAGCUUGCCAAUGCAUCGCCUGCAGCCUUGCAGACGGAUAAAGCCGUGUGGGCAGUAUCCAGCUCUGAGACGAGUCGGACAGAACAGGCAGCGUCGAGAUGGGUUGAUCCGCCGCAAGGGUUAAUAAAAAUUAACUCCGACGCCGCGCUCCGGCCGGAAAGUGGACAUUGCUGGGCGGGAGCAGUUGCAAGGGACUACUGA